UCCUUCUCUGUAUCAUACAGAUCAAUUCCAUUUCGAGUUUGGAUUCGGUUUCCGUCGGUAUUCAACUUCAAUUUACGAUUCUAUUGUUUCUUGUAAUCCACGAGAAGGCUGUGAAUCUGUUGUUUGAGAAGAGGCCGGAGCAGUUUGGAAUCGGCGUUUGAUUGUUGUUUCGAAUCGAAGGAAGAUGUAGGUAUAUUCAUGGAAAUCCCGCAUAUCGGUGGCCAUCUCUAUCCCUCUCGUCCGUCACGCACCGUCGGCAAAGUUUCAGGUAAGGUUUCUUUGUUAUUCGUAUAAUGUUCAACUUAAGAGUUAGGCCGGUUGGAGCUGGAGAAUCAGAAGGAGAUUCCUCAUUACACACUUCAUCAGAUUCAGCCUCGUGUGGAAUCCUUUGAGGAACAGGUGAUAUCGGAGUCGAAGAUAUUGGAUGUGUUGCCGAAUUUCCGAUGGUUGUUUGCAGGAAAGUUUGAAAAGAGGUAUGCGGCUGUGCAAAAGAGGCGUGAUGAUUUUAUGCAGGUUUGAAUUGAUGAGUUUAGAGCGGGUGGUUUCUGGGUGGUGAAGAGAAGAAAAAGAAGACAUUGCUUGAGAUUUUAUUGUCUCUACAAGAUGCUGAUCCGGAGUAUUAUACAGACGAAAUGAUCAAAAGCCUUUCACAGGCUCUAUUACUUGGAGGAAUCAAUACAUCGGUCGAGACGAUGGAGUGGGCGAUGACGCUUUUACUUAACAACCCGAACGUUUUACACAAGGCGCAAACUGAAAUCGACAUCUUCGUAGGAUGCGAUUGAUUAGUGAACGACGCCGAUCUAUCGAAGCUUCCAUACUUGCAGUGUAUCAUCAAGGAGACGUUAAGAAUGCACCCAACCGCGCCUUUACGUCUUCCUCAUGAGUCAUCCAAAGAUUGUGUGGUUAGUGGUUACAAUAUCCCACAUGGUACAAUGUUGUUCGUGAAUGUGUGUGGGCUAUACAAAAUGAUCCAAACACUAUACAAGGAGAUUUUUAAAGAAAUUUGAAUUAUAUUUUGUAAAUUUAAACUAUCCUAUAUAUUUUUAACUAUAUUUUUUAAAUAUAGAAUAAAAUUUUAUCUUCUUUUUAUUUCCAAACAAAAUUAAACUACCCUCAUUUGUUAAACCGCGUGUACACGCGGGUUAUAACCUAGUAUCUUUAUAAACAUGUAAGAAAGAAAUCACAUUCACAAUGACAUGUGGCAAAAGUGUCCAAUAUUCAGUUUUGUUCGUAAAUGCAUAUUCUACAAUCACUUUCACCCAUGUGCCAUGUACCAUCAGAAUGUAAUCACUUUAUUGAUAUUUUUAGGUGAUAAGCAACAUAAACUAGCAUACAAUAAUCAGAAUGCAAUCACUUUAUUGAUAUUUAUAGGUGAUAAGCAACAAAAACUAGCAUACGAUAAACAUAUUUGUGUAUAAGUUCAUAUUUAGAGUUAAUUACAGCGUUAGUCCCUAUAGUUUGUAGAAAGUAACAACCUAAGAUACUAAUAGUUUAAAAUAACAUCCUAAGGUAUUAACCUUCUAAUUUGUAACAAAUUAGGGUACUAACACCUAACCCGGUUUAAUUUUAACAGAGUUCAAGAUUAAUUAAGUCCUUUUGCAUUCUUCAUUUAUCAAAACUAAUAAAAAAAACCCUUAGAUGUAUGAACCCUUACUUAUUCUCUUUACGUAGGAAGUUACAUAAUAAUGUCAACAUGUGACAUGAAUAUUGUGAUUUUUUUUUUUACAAAGCAAUGGUAGGUAGUCGGGCAACAAGUUGCGC
RNAcentral lists this long non-coding RNA (1761 nucleotides) under Helianthus annuus (common sunflower). The record is from RNAcentral. Lineage: Eukaryota; Viridiplantae; Streptophyta; Magnoliopsida; Asterales; Asteraceae.